ACUAGAUUGCAUUACUGAAUCCAGAGCAGCUCCAGAUUAUUCUUACUUGUGUUUCAUAUCGAAAUGAUCGGAACAUCUGAAAAGUAAACAACUCGGCCAACGAUCCAUGGACUCGAAUGGGUUUGAGUCGUUUUGAUGUCACAGAAAUGUGGUGAAUGGAAGGCGCGCGGGCCGUUUUGCAGUUCUGGUGCUUAUACACUAAACAAAGAGUCAGGGAAAAGCUGCGCGUGAUCAAUCUUGCUCUCCAAGAGGUCUGACAGGAUCUCGCUCCCACCACAUAUUUCAGCUCUAAACUUCUGCACAAGAUGCAAUCCAACCAGAAACAAGAAGAAGAUACUCCAGGAUUUCUCUCCUGUUUUAUUUCAUUCUCAAUGCGGAUAAAACAAUAUCAGAGGCGGGAUAUAGAAACGUGUUGAACAUCAGAAGAAGGUUUGAUUGUAAAUUCCUCUCCACUCCCAGAAACCGGAGAAGCUGUCACAGUGUAAUGGAUGUUUCUGCUCGGAGGAACGAGGCCUCUCCAAGACCUCGACUUACCAACAUGCAAGAAAUGACCGAACAUCACACACUGCAUGUUUAACACUAACCACAUCCUUAUAUCAUAUACAUGCUGCAAUUCAAGGCUUUUAAUUCUUUUUUUUUUUAUUAUUCUAUUUAUUUGCUGAUUUUUUUGUUCCCACAUCAAUAAUGUAAUCUUUUGUUCUUUCUUUCUUCUACCUUUAAAAAAUAAACGGAGAGUAAAUUAUACUUUAAAACAAGUCAAAUAAUUCCUAUUUUUAUUUGUAAUCAUUUCCAUUCAUAUUUUGAUUUUAUUUGUAUUUGUAUUUUGUUUUAUUUUUGCUCGAUGAAUAUUUUAUUUUAUUAUCCAUGUGUGUACGGCAGACAGAAAUCUCACAACGAAGCAUUUCUACAACUUUAUAACAUCAUUAUAAAUGUAUAAAUUAUAUAUUAUUUAAUAAUAAUGUAAUAGACAUUAAGUAUUUACUUUAUUAUUUUACUGAAACAGGAAAAUGGAAUAGAUAUUGUCAUGUUUGCUGAGAUGAGUUUCUAAUUUAAACAUCCAGAUUUAUUUAUUUGAAUUAGAAUUUCAGGUUGACUUUUGUCUAAAUGUAAUUAUACACUAAACAAUUUUUUUUAUUUACAUUUAGAGAUUUUAAUUAUUCUGCCUUGUAAAAUGUAUUGGUAAUAAUUUACAGUAAUAUACUGACAGCUUGUUUACACUUAAUACAAUAAAUAAAAUCUCUGUACACAAUUUUGA
This is a long non-coding RNA of Silurus meridionalis, 1255 nucleotides long. RefSeq lists it as uncharacterized. The transcript has 3 exons. NCBI's taxonomy places the organism in Eukaryota, Metazoa, Chordata, Actinopteri, Siluriformes, Siluridae. The record is from RefSeq and is a predicted model, not a curated record.